This is a small nucleolar RNA of Varanus komodoensis (Komodo dragon), 76 nucleotides long. NCBI's taxonomy places the organism in Eukaryota, Metazoa, Chordata, Lepidosauria, Squamata, Varanidae. The record is from Ensembl.
AACCAGUGAUGAAGUUUUGAUUCUGCCAGAUGAGUUCUAAUGAUAUCAACCCCAUUCCGUUCCAUUUUCUGAGGUU